UACAGAGGGUGCAAGCGUUGUUCGGAAUUAUUGGGCGUAAAGCGCGUGUAGGCGGCUUUGCAAGUCGGGUGUGAAAGCCCUCAGCUCAACUGAGGAAGUGCGCCCGAAACUGCAGAGCUUGAGUACCGGAGAGGAUGGCGGAAUUCCCCAAGUAGAGGUGAAAUUCGUAGAUAUGGGGAGGAACACCGGUGGCGAAGGCGGCCAUCUGGACGGAUACUGACGCUGAGACGCGAAAGCGUGGGGAGCGAACGGG
This 253-nucleotide ribosomal RNA is filed under the name uncultured bacterium. RNAcentral's name for it is "partial 16S ribosomal RNA". It matches the Rfam family "Bacterial small subunit ribosomal RNA", at positions 524 to 776 of the family's 1533-position model. The record is from RNAcentral.